AUGAGUUUGAUCCUGGCUCAGGACGAACGCUGGCGGCGUGCUUAACACAUGCAAGUGGUGCGACGAACCAGGGCUUGCCCUGGGGCUAAGCCGCGAACGGGUGAGUAACACGUGAGUAAUCUGCCCCGAUGACCGGGACAACCCGAGGAAACUCGGGCUAAUACCGGAUGUGGUGCACAGGUUUAAGCUUGUGUACUAAAGGAAGCUUCGGCCUCCGCAUUGGGAGGAGCUCGCGGCCCAUUAGCUUGUUGGUGGGGUAAUGGCCUACCAAGGCAACGAUGGGUAGCUGGUCUGAGAGGACGAUCAGCCACACUGGGACUGAGACACGGCCCAGACUCCUACGGGAGGCAGCAGUGGGGAAUCUUGCGCAAUGCGCGAAAGCGUGACGCAGCAACGCCGCGUGGGGGAAGACGGCCUUCGGGUUGUAAACCCCUUUCAGGAGGGACGAAGGUUCACCGGUGAAUAGCCGUGUGGAUUGACG
RNAcentral lists this ribosomal RNA (481 nucleotides) under uncultured bacterium. RNAcentral describes it as "bacterial SSU rRNA". It matches the Rfam family "Bacterial small subunit ribosomal RNA", at positions 1 to 474 of the family's 1533-position model. The record is from RNAcentral.